GUAUGGUUUAUAAUUAGCUCAUCUUGGUAAGAUUGUUAAUUGGUAUGAUAUGCAUUUGUGAUUGUUAUAAUUAGGCUCAAGUGAAUUAAGUAUGGUUGUUGGAUGUGUUUUGGGUAUGGUUUAUUAUUGAAUUAUAUUUUGACUGUAAUUUGUUUAUUUAUUAGUUUGGGAAAUGGCAGUGAUGAGCUGUUAUAUUUGGUUGAUGAUAGAUAAAUGAAUACAUAUGUACUUAUGUCACGAAUUUUGGUGAUUUGGGAUGUAAAGGUCA
This 268-nucleotide long non-coding RNA is filed under the name Gossypium barbadense (sea-island cotton). Its description in RNAcentral is "long non-coding RNA (GBAR_LNC010424)". Lineage: Eukaryota; Viridiplantae; Streptophyta; Magnoliopsida; Malvales; Malvaceae. The record is from RNAcentral.